Molecule: ribosomal RNA, 468 nt
Filed under: uncultured bacterium
Lineage: Bacteria
Description: partial 16S ribosomal RNA
Rfam family: Bacterial small subunit ribosomal RNA
Source: RNAcentral
GACGAACGCUGGCGGCGUGCUUAACACAUGCAAGUCGAACGGAAAGGCCCUGCUUUUGUGGGGUGCUCGAGUGGCGAACGGGUGAGUAACACGUGAGUAACCUGCCCUUGACUUUGGGAUAACUUCAGGAAACUGGGGCUAAUACCGGAUAGGAGCUCCUGCUGCAUGGUGGGGGUUGGAAAGUUUCGGCGGUUGGGGAUGGACUCGCGGCUUAUCAGCUUGUUGGUGGGGUAGUGGCUUACCAAGGCUUUGACGGGUAGCCGGCCUGAGAGGGUGACCGGCCACAUUGGGACUGAGAUACCGCCCCGACUCCUACGGGAGGGAACAGUGGGGGAUAUUGCCCCAUGGGCGGAAGCCUGAUGCAGCAACGCCGCGUGCGGGAUGACGGCCUUCGGGUUGUAAACCGCUUUCGCCUGUGACGAAGCGUGAGUGACGGUAAUGGGUAAAGAAGCACCGGCUAACUACGUG